GAUUAUUCUAUCCAGCUCCUGUCUCCCGCUGUCCUGCGACCCGAGCCGAAACUGGAAAUGAAAUAUGGUGAUAAUAAUUCCUGCCACCAUUUCCCGGGUCAGCGCGUUGCGGCUGCUCAUUUCUAGCCCAAUUUCAGAGCACGUGUUGGGGAAACGGAGGUGUCGACCUGCCAGGCGACCCGCAGAGCACAGCCCUUUCAGAGUUAAGCUUCUCUGAGCGCGCUCCCCCUCCAUUCCUGUUGGGAGACUAAUGCUAGAGUGACAGUGGGUGAGAUGAAUAGAGAUAAUGUGAAGGGGAUCUGCUUCAGAAGACCUGGCUAUCUGAUGGAAGGGAGGGGGGUAGAAGAUGGGGAUGGGGGGUGGGGGGGUGGAGUGGGUGGUAGGUACGUGACUCCUGCCACACAUCACUCUUAAUGUAGGGGUUGCAGGACAUUCUUAAGCGUGGGGAGAAAGAGAGUUUGAUUAUCUAUCUGUUUGGAACUUUCUCCAUUUUUCAAGCAUCUACCAAAAGGCUUUCUCGGAAGCCUCCAGUCCUUGGAGGCUGUACACCACUGGUUUUUAACACUCUUUAAUAACAUACAUAAUAACUGCAUUAUAGACACUUGUAGUGAAAGCCAAAGCUUACUACUCUCUCUCUCUCCAUUAUUCCUCCUCUCACAUUCCUUCCUUUUUCAUCUCUCCUCACUUCCUCACCCCUAUUUCUUCCUUCCUGUCUGAACCGUUUGGCCCCCUUCCUCCAUUGCCGCCACCUUCACAGAGCAUUAAUCAGUUCUUGGAAUCAGUCGGGCUGGAAAUGGCAUCGGAGACGUUUCCCCUCGUGCCGGGGAGCCAUCCAGUCUUAAAAGGGCCAGCAAUGUUGUACCCCCCUCCCCCUUGACUCUGCACUAUAAUAAAUGACUUGACCCAACAGGUAUAUGAUCCAUAACAUUGCAUCUGAUGGCAGCAAAAACACAUUUGUAGCCUGUCAGUCAUGCCCUUUGCCUCACCCACUGCUCCACUCACACGCACAGGCAAACUGUCGACAUUUUUUUUUGUGCCUCCUGCCUGUCCUUCGACGCUCAUUUAUUCAGAUUUAUUCUGAGCACGUGUUUGACAACGGAGCCUGUCAAGGACCAGCCCUCCGCCCUUACCCUACAAAGCCCCUCCUGCCCUCCUAAUGCUGUUAACCAUUCAUCAACACUUGCAUCAAAUCUCCACCUGUCUAGAGAAUGCCUUCUGCUAAACCUACCUCUCACACACCUUUUCUUCUUUUUUUUGUCUUUAAUGUGUGUAUUUGUGCACCUGCAUUUGUGAAAGUAUUUGUGUAAGUGUGUGAAUGUGGGAAGAUGUGUGUAGGCUGUAGGCUAUAUAAUGUGUAGGCUUUGUAUGUGUGUGUGUGCGUGUGUGUGUGUGCAUGUGUGUGUGUGUGUUAGUGCGUAGGCCAUGUGUAUGUGUCUGUGUGUGUUAUCUAAACUCACCAGCUGUGUCCCAGUUUCUGCACAGAGUGUCUGAC
Long non-coding RNA from Clupea harengus (Atlantic herring), 1492 nucleotides. The record is from Ensembl. Lineage: Eukaryota; Metazoa; Chordata; Actinopteri; Clupeiformes; Clupeidae.